AUCGCUUCGGCCUUUUGGCCCAGAUCGCGUGUAGUAUCUGUUUUAUAGUUUAAUAUCGAUACGCCCUAUCGGGGGGACUACAUAUUAAAUGGAUUUUUCGAACAGGAGUCGGAAAUGGGGCUUGCUCCGUCCGGCCUCCACGAGAUCGCACCGGCAUUGCAGUACCUCGGGAAUGGUGCAACACUU
Salmo salar (Atlantic salmon) is the source of this 186-nucleotide non-coding RNA. The record is from RefSeq and is a predicted model, not a curated record. NCBI's taxonomy places the organism in Eukaryota, Metazoa, Chordata, Actinopteri, Salmoniformes, Salmonidae.